UACGGGGGGGGCAAGCGUUGUUCGGAAUUACUGGGCGUAAAGGGCUCGUAGGCGGCCAACUAAGUCAUACGUGAAAUCCCUCGGCUCAACCGUGGAACUGCUGGGUAUACUGGCGAUCUUGGGCCACUCAGGGGCGACCGGAACAAGCGGUGGAGCGGUGAAAUGCGUAGAUAUCGCUUGGAACGCCAAAGGUGAAGACAGGUCGCUGGGGGUGCGCCGACGCUGAGACGCGAAAGCCAGGGGAGCAAACGGG
Molecule: ribosomal RNA, 253 nt
Filed under: uncultured bacterium
Lineage: Bacteria
Description: partial 16S ribosomal RNA
Rfam family: Bacterial small subunit ribosomal RNA
Source: RNAcentral